RNAcentral lists this ribosomal RNA (365 nucleotides) under uncultured eukaryote. Its description in RNAcentral is "partial 18S ribosomal RNA". It matches the Rfam family "Eukaryotic small subunit ribosomal RNA", at positions 592 to 976 of the family's 1831-position model. The record is from RNAcentral.
CAAUAGCGUAUAUUUAAGUUGUUGCAGUUAAAAAGCUCGUAGUCGGAUUUUGGCUGAGAACGAUCGGUCCGCCGUUAGGUGUGCACUGAUUGGUCUCAGCUUCCUGGUGAGGAGGUGUGCUUCACGGCCACUUAGUCACCGUGGUUACUUUGAAAAAAUUAGAGUGUUCAAAGCGGGCUUACGCUUGAAUAUAUUAGCAUGGAAUAACACCAUAGGACUCCUGUCCUAUUUCGUUGGUCUCGGGACGGGAGUAAUGAUUAAGAGGAACAGUUGGGGGCAUUCGUAUUUCAUCGUCAGAGGUGAAAUUCUUGGAUUUAUGAAAGACGAACUUCUGCGAAAGCAUUUGCCAAGGAUGUUUUCAUUGA